GGGGGGAUCUUAGGACCUCCCGCUACAGGGGCGGCCGAUGGCAGAUUAGCUAGUUGGUGGGGUAAAGGCCUACCAAGGCGACGAUCUGUAGCUGGUCUGAGAGGACGACCAGCCACACUGGGACUGAGACACGGCCCAGACUCCUACGGGAGGCAGCAGUGGGGAAUUUUGGACAAUGGGGGAAACCCUGAUCCAGCAAUGCCGCGUGUGUGAAGAAGGCCUUCGGGUUGUAAAGCACUUUUGUCCGGAAAGAAAUCCUCUUCGCUAAUACCGAGGGGGGAUGACGGUACCGGAAGAAUAAGCACCGGCUAACUACGUGCCAGCAGCCGCGGUAAUACGUAGGGUGCAAGCGUUAAUCGGAAUUACUGGGCGUAAAGCGUGCGCAGGCGGUUCGCUAAGACAGAUGUGAAAUCCCCGGGCUUAACCUGGGAACUGCAUUUGUGACUGGCGGG
RNAcentral lists this ribosomal RNA (452 nucleotides) under uncultured Burkholderia sp. RNAcentral describes it as "bacterial SSU rRNA". It matches the Rfam family "Bacterial small subunit ribosomal RNA", at positions 202 to 640 of the family's 1533-position model. Lineage: Bacteria; Pseudomonadati; Pseudomonadota; Betaproteobacteria; Burkholderiales; Burkholderiaceae. The record is from RNAcentral.